RNAcentral lists this ribosomal RNA (391 nucleotides) under Citrobacter sp. FER47. RNAcentral describes it as "bacterial SSU rRNA". It matches the Rfam family "Bacterial small subunit ribosomal RNA", at positions 966 to 1358 of the family's 1533-position model. Lineage: Bacteria; Pseudomonadati; Pseudomonadota; Gammaproteobacteria; Enterobacterales; Enterobacteriaceae. The record is from RNAcentral.
GACCUUACCUGGUCUUGACAUCCACAGAACUUGGCAGAGAUGCCUUGGUGCCUUCGGGAACUGUGAGACAGGUGCUGCAUGGCUGUCGUCAGCUCGUGUUGUGAAAUGUUGGGUUAAGUCCCGCAACGAGCGCAACCCUUAUCCUUUGUUGCCAGCGGUCCGGCCGGGAACUCAAAGGAGACUGCCAGUGAUAAACUGGAGGAAGGUGGGGAUGACGUCAAGUCAUCAUGGCCCUUACGACCAGGGCUACACACGUGCUACAAUGGCGCAUACAAAGAGAAGCGACCUCGCGAGAGCAAGCGGACCUCAUAAAGUGCGUCGUAGUCCGGAUUGGAGUCUGCAACUCGACUCCAUGAAGUCGGAAUCGCUAGUAAUCGUGGAUCAGAAUUCC